Molecule: unclassified non-coding RNA, 253 nt
Filed under: uncultured Gammaproteobacteria bacterium
Lineage: Bacteria; Pseudomonadati; Pseudomonadota; Gammaproteobacteria
Description: contains 16S-23S intergenic spacer region
Rfam family: Bacterial small subunit ribosomal RNA
Source: RNAcentral
UACAGAGAGUGCAAGCGUUAAUCGGAAUUACUGGGCGUAAAGCGCACGUAGGCGGAUACUUAAGUCAGAUGUGAAAGCCCCGAGCUUAACUUGGGAAUUGCAUCUGAAACUGGGUGUCUAGAGUAUGGUAGAGGGAAGUGGAAUUUCCGGUGUAGCGGUGAAAUGCGUAGAUAUCGGAAAGAACACCAGUGGCGAAGGCGACUUCCUGGACCAAUACUGACGCUGAGGUGCGAAAGCGUGGGGAGCAAACAGG